AGGGCCGGUAAACACUGCGGUGUGUUU
Molecule: small RNA, 27 nt
Filed under: Bombyx mori (domestic silkworm)
Lineage: Eukaryota; Metazoa; Arthropoda; Insecta; Lepidoptera; Bombycidae
Description: ovarian small RNA-12216
Source: RNAcentral